RNAcentral lists this ribosomal RNA (1670 nucleotides) under Staphylococcus aureus. Its description in RNAcentral is "partial 23S ribosomal RNA". It matches the Rfam family "Bacterial large subunit ribosomal RNA", at positions 1 to 1669 of the family's 2925-position model. Lineage: Bacteria; Bacillati; Bacillota; Bacilli; Caryophanales; Staphylococcaceae. The record is from RNAcentral.
GAUUAAGUUAUUAAGGGCGCACGGUGGAUGCCUUGGCACUAGAAGCCGAUGAAGGACGUUACUAACGACGAUAUGCUUUGGGGAGCUGUAAGUAAGCUUUGAUCCAGAGAUUUCCGAAUGGGGAAACCCAGCAUGAGUUAUGUCAUGUUAUCGAUAUGUGAAUACAUAGCAUAUCAGAAGGCACACCCGGAGAACUGAAACAUCUUAGUACCCGGAGGAAGAGAAAGAAAAUUCGAUUCCCUUAGUAGCGGCGAGCGAAACGGGAAGAGCCCAAACCAACAAGCUUGCUUGUUGGGGUUGUAGGACACUCUAUACGGAGUUACAAAGGACGACAUUAGACGAAUCAUCUGGAAAGAUGAAUCAAAGAAGGUAAUAAUCCUGUAGUCGAAAAUGUUGUCUCUCUUGAGUGGAUCCUGAGUACGACGGAGCACGUGAAAUUCCGUCGGAAUCUGGGAGGACCAUCUCCUAAGGCUAAAUACUCUCUAGUGACCGAUAGUGAACCAGUACCGUGAGGGAAAGGUGAAAAGCACCCCGGAAGGGGAGUGAAAUAGAACCUGAAACCGUGUGCUUACAAGUAGUCAGAGCCCGUUAAUGGGUGAUGGCGUGCCUUUUGUAGAAUGAACCGGCGAGUUACGAUUUGAUGCAAGGUUAAGCAGUAAAUGUGGAGCCGUAGCGAAAGCGAGUCUGAAUAGGGCGUUUAGUAUUUGGUCGUAGACCCGAAACCAGGUGAUCUACCCUUGGUCAGGUUGAAGUUCAGGUAACACUGAAUGGAGGACCGAACCGACUUACGUUGAAAAGUGAGCGGAUGAACUGAGGGUAGCGGAGAAAUUCCAAUCGAACCUGGAGAUAGCUGGUUCUCUCCGAAAUAGCUUUAGGGCUAGCCUCAAGUGAUGAUUAUUGGAGGUAGAGCACUGUUUGGACGAGGGGCCCCUCUCGGGUUACCGAAUUCAGACAAACUCCGAAUGCCAAUUAAUUUAACUUGGGAGUCAGAACAUGGGUGAUAAGGUCCGUGUUCGAAAGGGAAACAGCCCAGACCACCAGCUAAGGUCCCAAAAUAUAUGUUAAGUGGAAAAGGAUGUGGCGUUGCCCAGACAACUAGGAUGUUGGCUUAGAAGCAGCCAUCAUUUAAAGAGUGCGUAAUAGCUCACUAGUCGAGUGACACUGCGCCGAAAAUGUACCGGGGCUAAACAUAUUACCGAAGCUGUGGAUUGUCCUUUGGACAAUGGUAGGAGAGCGUUCUAAGGGCGUUGAAGCAUGAUCGUAAGGACAUGUGGAGCGCUUAGAAGUGAGAAUGCCGGUGUGAGUAGCGAAAGACGGGUGAGAAUCCCGUCCACCGAUUGACUAAGGUUUCCAGAGGAAGGCUCGUCCGCUCUGGGUUAGUCGGGUCCUAAGCUGAGGCCGACAGGCGUAGGCGAUGGAUAACAGGUUGAUAUUCCUGUACCACCUAUAAUCGUUUUAAUCGAUGGGGGGACGCAGUAGGAUAGGCGAAGCGUGCGAUUGGAUUGCACGUCUAAGCAGUAAGGCUGAGUAUUAGGCAAAUCCGGUACUCGUUAAGGCUGAGCUGUGAUGGGGAGAAGACAUUGUGUCUUCGAGUCGUUGAUUUCACACUGCCGAGAAAAGCCUCUAGAUAGAAAAUAGGUGCCCGUACCGCAAACCGACACAGGUAGUCA